CCUACGGGAGGCAGCAGUGGGGAAUAUUGCGCAAUGGGGGCAACCCUGACGCAGCAACGCCGCGUGAUUGAAGAAGGCCUUCGGGUUGUAAAGCUCUUUAUUCGGGGACGAAUUUUGACGGUACCCGAAGUAUAAGCUCCUGCUAACUACGUGCCAGCAGCCGCGGUCAUACGUAGGGAGCGAGCGUUAUCCGGAUUUACUGGGGGUAAAGGGCGUGUAGGCGGGCAUACAAGCCAGAAGUGAAAUCUGGGGGCUUAACCGCCAAACUGCUUUUGGAACUGGGUGUCUUGAGUGAUGGUGAGGCAGGCGGAAUGCCCAGUGUAGCGGUGAAAUGCGUAGAUAUUGGGAGGAACACCAGUGGCGAAGGCGGCCUGCUGGACAGUAACUGACGCUGAGGCGCGAAAGCGUGGGGAGCAAACAGGAUUAGAUACCCGAGUAGUC
This 441-nucleotide ribosomal RNA is filed under the name uncultured bacterium. RNAcentral describes it as "partial 16S ribosomal RNA". It matches the Rfam family "Bacterial small subunit ribosomal RNA", at positions 338 to 795 of the family's 1533-position model. The record is from RNAcentral.